This 73-nucleotide transfer RNA is filed under the name Dipodomys ordii (Ord's kangaroo rat). It matches the Rfam family "tRNA". Rfam says of the family: Transfer RNA (tRNA) molecules are approximately 80 nucleotides in length. The record is from Rfam by way of RNAcentral. Lineage: Eukaryota; Metazoa; Chordata; Mammalia; Rodentia; Heteromyidae.
GAGGGUAUGGCUCUUGUAGUAGAGCAUGUGCCUAGAAAGCACAAGGCUCUGAGUUCAAACCACAGUAUUACUG